Chelonia mydas (Green sea turtle) is the source of this 10253-nucleotide long non-coding RNA. RefSeq lists it as uncharacterized. Lineage: Eukaryota; Metazoa; Chordata; Testudines; Cheloniidae. The record is from RefSeq and is a predicted model, not a curated record. The transcript is spliced from 2 exons.
CAUCAGUGAGGCAUAUCAUCCAUUGGAUGAUAUAAUGCAGUAGCAAUGCAGUAGCCCUGGUAGUCUUUGCCCCAGACAAAGCAAUUAAUUGUUUCUCCAAACAAUUUUUUGUCGGCAAAGCCAAAAGUCCUGUGACAAGACUUCAUGCUUCUCCAGUUCUCCUGUCAAAGGCCCAGACUGUGCCACCUAAGGUCUUACACCUAAGGUAUCUACUAUGCCUGGAUCUCCCUUUGCCUCUGCAGAAUGGGCAAAGGUUUAAGCUGCUUCCACAACAUUGUUUCUUUAGUUCUCCCUUAUCCCCAGAGAUCCUUUGCAGGGUCCAGCACCAGUGCCUGGGGAAAGGAAUGAGGAAUUUGCAACAUCCCCAACAAAUCCUGUAGAGAACAUACUGAAAAGUUAUUGUAGACAUGGUAGUUAUUGUAGACAUAGACCUCUGCACUGAAGAACCCCUCUUUUAGGAAGGUGCAUCCACAGGCAAAGGGGUUCCUAAGAGCUGCCAAGGAGCUGGAACAUGGGGCAGAGGACUCCAGAGCUCAUAUAGAUACAGAUAUCUCAGGGAUUCCAGCAGGUCCCAGAAGCUCCAUGGGACCCUGCUUCUUCCCUGAGGAAACAAACACCCCUCCUCCCUACUGGAAUGAUCUGGGGAAAUCUUCAUGAGGGGAAGUAUGGAGUUUUCCUCUCCUCACCUCCAAACUCCCUGCCAUGACUUUGUGCUCACUGAAGGAAGAGGGUGAAUUGGCCCAAUUCUAUUUGACUGUGGAAUUAACAAACUGGGUGUUGAUGCCAUAGAUACGACUGAGUAAACAUUCCCAAUAAAGUACUAACCUGAACAAAGACUAACCAGAAGUGUUGUCUAUAAAAUCCUGACAGGGAAAAGAAAAAGUUAUACUGUAAUCACGAAUGCAAAUAAAAGUGACAGUCAACGCAUUAUGGUGUGGUAAUGGGCUGUUCGCAGAAUACUGGCUAUGCUACCAGCUUCCAGACCAAGGAAAAGAAAUUGAGUGCACAAUGUUGGGAGAAAUCAAAGAGGUAGAAAAAUUAAACAAAAUGAUAAUAACGGAGGACUUCAACUACCCCCAUGUACAAACUGGUCAAAUGGCACAAUGGGAGAGCAGUUAAAGAAACAAUUUAAGAGAUUGCUUCUUGGAACAGCUAGUUCUAGAGCACACAAGAGGAGAGCUACUCUUCAUUUGGGUUAAUUAACACACAGGAGCUAAUUCAAGAAGUGACAGUUGCUCUUUAUAUGUCCUUCUGGAAUUCUGUUAACCUCUGACAUGUGUGCUCCCAAUCUCUCUAGGCCCAUCACUGUUUAUUAUAUUUGACACCACAUUAUGGCUGGAGAUGGGCCAAAGUCAAAAAGCUGGUAUCUGAAGUUUGCCUAAUUUCAGGGGGUGAAAUUCUGGCCCUGCUAUAGUCAUUGGAAAACUCCCAAAGACUUCACUUCUGGCCAGGAUUUGACCUGGAGUGGUAAUAUCCAGAGGUCUGGUUUGGGCUCACGUCUCUAGAUUAUAGUUGCAAGUGUUCAAAUACAGUGUGGCUGUGAGGUGACUCAGAUCUUUUUGUUUUAAAAUAUAUAACACUAACAAUAAUGUCAUUGUUUUCCAUGGAGUUUGCUCUGAGAAUUAUGUAUGUACAACUAAACCUCCAUUCUUGUGCUGCUUUUUCUACCCCACUACGAUUGUGAAUCUGAGCAGCAUGUGCUAUGAAAUUUGUAAAUAUGAACUCUAUACAUUCAUAUUUAAUUAUUUUAUUUUAUUUAAUCCAGAGGGAAAGCUCAUUUUAUAAACCAAAUUUUAUCCUCAUUUGGAAAAAUCCAGUAAGCCUGAGUUCUGAAGGCACUUACUCGACAGGUUAAGUUAAUUUUUUGAAAACAUCUUUUCUGAGUAUUGGAAUAAUUCUGUGUCAUGGGAAGAAUUCAGGGUUUUUUUUCUAGUUAUUUUUAUGGCUGUAAUUCUGGGAUGGUGGAGGUGUGUGUGUUGGGGGGUAAGAAUGGGAAAUUUGGGUCAGACCCUCCUCUUUUUAUAUUGAAGCCAAUAAACAUCUUACACGUGUGACUAUGCAUUUUGUCACAGAAAUGAAUGCUAUAAUAAUGUAUGGUCCCUAUAAAAUGCCUCCUUCAUGGGGACUCUACCCACUAGGCUCUUGGCAAGGGCUACCAUCUUCUGGGGAACAGAUCUCAGGCUUUGAGUAUUAGACACAGCUUCAUUGGAUCCUUUGACGGUUCAGCUAAGGAAGCUAAGUACAGUACCAGAGCUAAGAAUGCAUGGUCUCCCCACCUGGGGAAACAGUUUCCAGAUCACUUUACAGGGACAUCCACUUAUGCUAAUAGUGUCAAUGCUCGUGUUCUAAGAAGCCAAUAAAACGUCUAUAAAUGGGCAGUAAAAACAGAAGGAGGGCAGACUGCCCUGCGUAGCUUUAAACUAAUAAGAGAUUAAAAACUGAAAACAGAAAGCUGUAGAUUAAAAAAAUAUCUGGUUCAACAACUCUAUUGUACAUAGACUAAUGAGACAAAGGUGGGAUUUUCAAAGGGGCCAAAGGUAGUUGGAUACCUGGUGCCUAACUCCGUUUGGUCACUUAGAAGAUGCCAGCCUUAACCCCCACAACCCAGCCACCUCUUCCUAUGGUGACCUGGCUAGGCUAGGCUCUGAGAGCAGAGGAGACGCAGAGGCAAACCAAGACAAAAGGGGAAAAUUUACAUUUUUAGAAAUUUAUAAGGGAAAACUCCCAAAUUGUACCAGGAGCAUAAAUAAUAUAGCACAUUCCCAAAGGCUUACUAUUUAGGCUACCAACUCAUUAACCCUUGUGAGAUUGUAUAUGUUGUGUGGUUAGUACCAAAGGCAUUGCUAUUAACAAGAGCAAAAGAGAUGACUUAACAAUAUACUGUGUCACUUCAGCGAAUAACCAACUUUUCCUCUCCAUGGCUGUAAAGUCCAGCUCCACUCUUGCUGUCUGGUUCUUUGCUUCUCUUCGGCUUGAAGUGCUCAUUAGAUUCGAUGUUCCUGUGUCUGUCCCACUUUUCACUGAGGUUAUCCACAAGCAGGGUUUCUUCACCUAGUGGUCCCUCAUGUGUCCAUUAGGCAUCUUGGAACUGUAUUCUGUCAAUAGACGUUUAAACAGUCAUUCUUGCUGUUCAGACACUGUAGGUCCUGUGUGAGGCCAUUUUCAGGAUCUGUUUUCAUCUAACCCAGCUUUUUGAUCAAUUCCCUUUUCCAUCAGUUAUAUUUCCUUUCAGUUGCCUUUCCCUCCCCGCCCUUGAUAUUUCGUGUCAGUACACCUGUAGAUUUCACUUCUCUCUGCUUCCCUUCUCUAACAGCACCUGCUCACGAACGCAGGUCUAUUUUUUUCCUGCUUCUCCUGACCCAAACCCCUUCCUAUUGUCCUUCUUUCCUCCUUCUCACUUCCCAGACCCUACUUUCAUUCUCCUGUUCUUUUAUUUUAGCCCCUCCCCUCCAACCCAGGCUCUGGUUCAUCGGCUAGCUCAGUAUCUUGAUUCUUCUUCUUCUCUAACAACUUUUUCCAACUGCCCCUUCAGGCGGAUUUGAAGCCUCAUCCUCAGCUUGAGCUACCCUCUCAUUGGCCAGCUCCGUCCCCAGCACAGCAUUCUGUGGUGCUGCAUUGCAACCGCAGCAGGUGCUAGUUGCAGAGUGUGAGUUACUACAUCCCUCCCCCCCGCCCCUACAAACGCCACCUCUAAUGAAUGGAUCCCCCCUUAUGCAAAGACUAACUGCCAGCACAUAUAUUAUGGGUUAGCGAAGGUUGCUUAGAAGUAUUAUAAUUCUUAAAUGCACAAAUGUUGCCUGACUUGUGAUGGUGAAGCCCAUUGUCAUGGCAGGAGAGAAGUUGCACAGAGCAACAGAGGGAUGAUGUCACUGUGUGGCACUGAAGUUGUGUAACUUAUUCUGAAUCAUGUAGGGUGACCAGAUAGGAAGUGUGAAAAAUCAGGACAGGAGGUGGGGGUAAUAGAUGCCUGUAUAAGACAAAGCCCCAAAUAUCAGGACUAUCCCUAUAAAAUUGGAAACAACCUAGAACCAUGGGAGGAGACUACUCAGAUGCAUUCAUAGUUUCUGCUCUCCUGGCUGGAGGCAGGGACUUCUGCAGAGUGCAGCAUCAAGCAAUCCUGUAUAAGGGUCUCUUGUCUCUUGGUGGAGAUAUGCAAGAAGCUGAAGAGGAGGCUGCAGUAGUCAAUACAGGAAUUGACCAGAGCACGGACUAACCUUCUGGCACCAGGGAAAAGGAGUAAGAAGCAUAUUUUGGAGAUAUCGCAGAGAAAGAAGGAGCUAGCUACAAAUACCAAUAAUGCUUUGCUGGCACUGCUCUUGAGGAAGAGUUUUUGUUCCAAGUUGGAAACACCUCUAAUGACACUGAAGACCAAUCUCCCAGAAAAUGACUGGGAAAUGUUAGAAUAAGCCUGAGUCAUUCUCAAAGAUGACCCUACCCUAGUUUUGAAGUAAAGCUACACUUGCCACACUUCCUUUCUGCUGAUUUACAUUUUUCUUUUUGGUUGGAGGCUGAAAGGAUUUAUAGCUCCAGAAAAGAUCUUCCUCCGUCUUAGAGGAAUUAAAUCAUUGCCAUCACUUCAGUUUUUGAGUAUCCAAAGAUUAACAUCAUAUUGACCUAUAGGGUUGAAUGAACCACAGAACAGAUGUUUGGAUAUUCAGCUGAACACUGAACCCAAUAGAAAAAUUCUAUGUUGGUCAGUUGAAAGUAGGCUCAGUCAUUUUAUGGGUGUGUGGGAUGCUAAAAUCUGGAUCUUGUAAAUGACACACAAUUUUUUUUCAAAAAUGUCUUUCCUGGCAAUUCACACGUGCUUCUGCGAUUUUGUUUUAUUUUUGUACACUACAGUGAGCCUCUGACACUGAUGCUCUUAUCCUAGCAACCGCACCUUAAAAUAAAUUAUUCUAAUAAUAAUUACAAAUUGCCAGAUAAUGACAAUCACCCAUUCAUAGGCGGUUCCACCCUAGAAUCUUAGUUGGGCCAUGAUGUUUCCAUCUUUGUUGCUUUUCACAUGGACUGUGUUCAGAGUAGAACAUGGCUGGGAUUGGGAGCAUAACAGGAGAUGGCUAAUUACUCAGCAACGCCCCCAUUUUCCCUUCCACUUCAUUCCCAGUCUCAAGAGCCCUGGGGAAACAGUGGAUGAGAACUGGGAUUAGCGAAAUCCAAAUCCCGACCAGUUAAACACACAACUAAACAAAAUAAAGGCCUCGCUCAUGCUUCUUUAUCUUUAUAGUGAUACUCUCAGAUUAUUUUACUGCAAUUAACAGUGUCAAAAAAACCUUAAAAUUUAGCUAAUAGCUAAAACAAAAACUGCAGAACAAGCAGGAGUAAGCAUUCAGUAGCAAGGACACUGACAACUGUAAACAAUUAAUAAGCUUAUAUGGUCAAUGCCUGCCCAGUAACGCAGUUCUUAGAACAGUGCUAACCCUCCCUUCACAACCCACUGGAUAUCUGUAAGCACUCAUCCCUAGCCCCACCUCCUCCUGUCUCCUUCCCCCGCAAGGUAGCCAUAGAUAUUUAAUGCAAUUAUGAUGACCUCUAUAUGUACGUACUGUUCUUAUUUUUAUCUUUGUUUGGAGUUCUCUCUUGACUUGUAACAAUGUCUGUGUCUGUAUGUACAAAUAAAUGCAAAUAAAUUAAUAAAAAUGUAUAUAACUGGCCACUAUGGCAUCAUAUCUUUGAAGCUGCUUGUCAGUCUUCCCAGUACCGUAAAUAAACCCCCUUCAGUAUUGUCUGUGCCUGCCUGAUUCUUGAAGAAAAGAAUCUUUUGCCUAACAGUUUUGGUGCAGCGAGCAGGGUGUGAUUGGGACUCCUCAGAAUGUUUCUCACAACCAGGGAUAGAGGCGAGUACCUUUUUACUUACCACCUCUAGCGCACACCUUGGUUUGGGACUCCGCGAGGCACCCCUCCACAUCACCCGUUUUUUUAAUACGAACCACAUAUAGGACGCACAGGCAAAAGGACUGAACGGGACUGUGUUUGUGGUCAAGAUUGUUGGGGUGCAGGGAUUGCUGGAGGCGAAGGCUGCCCUGCCAAGUACUGAGCACCAGAGUGUGUGCUGCAGUAAACUGAGCGCAAGGGUGUGCUCAGUCAGUCUUCCCUGCAGCCCCACUUAAGUGGGUUUCAGAAAGCUGGGAUACAAUGUCUUAUGAAUUGCCCCAAAAUGCAUCAACAAUACCCUUCACAGGGCGGGGGGCGGGGCUUGUUAGCAUGCCCCAGGGUGCACCAAUAAUACCCUCUACAGAAGGAAGACUCAUUGACUGGCCCCAGGGAACAUCAGUAAUGCCCUCCACUGGAGGGAAACUCAUGAAUUUUAUAAAAGGAAAACAUAAAAAGGUUCAAAAAAUAAUAGCAAAAAAUAAAGAAAAGAAGGGUAUAAGUACAAUAAAUAGCAUGUUGUAGUAAUCUAAUCAAACAAAAAAAAAUUAGGGAAAAUAUCAUACUAAUAUAUUACAAAUACAAAAAAAAAAUUACAAAAGUUAAAAACACUCCAAAAAGCUCUUACAUCAAAGCUAAGUCAUAAAGCAAAUUGCAGCCGCAAGCUAAAUAAGCUUAAAGCAAAAAACAAGCCUCUAAAAACAAAACUAAAAAAAAAAAACUUCUCUGCACGUCGUAUUGCUGCUAGCAUGCAACAAAAGGGUAAUUUUACUAACCCUAACUCAAGCAGCAAUACUAAUAAAAACCAAAAUAAAAUUAAUGAAAAACACCUUAAGAAACAAAGUCAAAACUGGAACCUGGCACACACGGGGGAAAAUCAAAAUAAUUGGCCACCUCCUCCUCUUCCCCCCCCUUUUAACCCAAAAUUAAGUGCCAGUGCUCCCUUGGCCCCUCGCCAAGUGACCACUCGGUGGUCAGGAACAGGUGAAAACAAAGUGGCUCAUAACACUUAUAUGUACGCUCCUCUCAGCACAAAGGAAAUGAGGGGCUUACUAAAAGAUCUCCCUAAUCUAAAGCCCAAAACCCCAAAUUUUAUAUUCUAAAAAAAAAAGCCAAAUGGUUACCACCUAUAUGUUACAUCCCAGGGAUCUUUAUAUCUUAACAAAAGCUAACUGCCCCAAUCUAUCAUGGGCCAAAAUCCCUACAAAAGGACACCAAAACGGCGACUGGGCCUCUGUUAAAUUUAAAUCUAAAAAUGAUAUGACCCUUCCCCACACUGAGUUUAAGAAAGCCGUCCAAGAAGCCUGGGGGAACGGAGCUGGUAAUUGGGGGCUGAUAGUGGGCUGCGUACAAGGCAAGCACAAGCCUGCCUCUCAAUAUUGUAAAAAAAAAGUGGGAAAUGUAUUCCAGCAAUGCAAGUAUUGCAGACCGCAAAAUCAGGCAUUUUAAAAAAUGUUAAAGAAAGGAUUUAACUCCCACCUGCAAACAGCCCUUAAUUUGGAAGUGAACCUAAACUCUAAUUAUAAAUCCAUCUGUAUGUGGGCCUCUAAAUGCAAAGCCAAACAAGCCAAAAAAAUAAGAAACAAAGCUGCUCGCAUUGCUAUGGUAACAGCAAAAAAUAAUGUAGCCUGCUAUAAUUGUGAGUGUCUCGGGCAUACCCCAAAAAAAUGCAGGCGCAAAACCCAAAAGCCUAGUCAGAAACAAAAUCAUGGCCAGUUAAAUCCCUGCAGUACCUCACUGCCCUUUCAAUCUGGUCCUGGUCCUGUCCCCACCCUCCCCCCGACCUCACAGUGUUUUGUAUGUGGGGAAACCGGACAUUGGGCAGCUGAAUGCCCAAGCCGAGGAGCCCUGGGCAACCGGCCUCAAACGGUAUCUCAACCAGCUGCCAACCCUUACUCACACCUAAGCAAAAAGAAAAUGGCCAGGCUUUUAAAUUCCAUAACCCACUAAAAUCCAGCAGCCCCCCCCUUGCCUGUCAGUACUGCUAAUGCAAAUAUAAAUCCCUCAAGGCCACACUUACAAGCAUGGAUAAGGGGCCAGCCAUGCACAAUUCUCGUGGACACGGAAGCAUCUGUUUCCAUUACUGACCUCCCUCUCCCCACUACUAAACAGUAUAUUCCUAUUUCAGGGGUCAAAGGUGCACAACUCAUGGUUUAUAAAAGCUAUCCUGUUCUUGUAAAAUCUAAUCUACUCUUCUGAACUCAGUCUCUUUUUUAAUGUAGCGCCAAAUGCAAAGGGGACUAUUUUGGGCAUGGAACGUCCUCUGCAACCUUGCAGCAACUCUUAACCUCGCUCAAAGUACAGUUACUAAUAAACUUAUGCGUACUCAUACCAUUCCCCUCCACAAUAAUACAUCCCUCUCUUCAGUUGCAACUGCCAAAUCUGUGGCUCUUACUUAAAAUACAUCUAACCCUUUUCAAGACUUAUCUUCAAGAUUUCCCUCUAUCUGGGCAAAAAAUAAGCUGCCUUGCAGUUCAAUGCCUGCUCAUCUCUGCCCACCAAUCCAGGUUACCAGCCAACUCGCUCCACCUACCAAGCAGUACCCUCUCAAACCUGAGGCUGUAAAUGCAGUAGGUAACAUUAUUCACUCUUUAUUUCAGCAAGGCAUACUGGUUCCUUGUGAAAGUGCACCCUCUUAAGCCCACGACCCUCCAAAAACCUCCUCUUGAGCAAACAUACCAAAAAAACCCCAAAACAGGUCAUGGUAAAACAUACAACUCCAGGGUACUUCAGUCAAAAUACUCCGACCUGCAUAUGGUAUUAGCCCAUACAAAUACCUCUGUAAAAGUGCAAAAAAUUCCAACAUGGGUCCAUAAAACCAAAAUUAAAAUGUAUAAAUAAAUUCAUUUUGUUUAUAUUAUAUCCUUUUAGGUAACAAACGUGACUCACCACGUUAAUCCUCCUGGCAAACAUACCUGAUGCAGCUUCCUGGGACCUGCCCUUGGUACAUGUUACACAAAAACCUGUUUCAAAGCUGGCCAGUAUGUGCAACUCCCUACAGGAAACAGCGGCAAAUGGGUAAAGAAACCAUACACUUGGCUUAUCCCCAGACCGGACCACCUGGGACCUAUUGUGGUUACAGCUCACCUCCCCAAACAUCCAGGCUCCAAGGUCUCAAUCCGACUACCACAGCCCGGGAGCAGACUUCGGCUCCCUCCCUGCAUUUCACCUGAUCUGGACUAUAACUGGGUAUUUAGCUUCGGGGCAUGUGGGCACACACAUGUAGGACCCCCAGUUUCAAAAUGCAAGGUCAUACAAUGCUUGCGUCAAAGGCCAACCACCCAAGCCCUUAAACAUACUAACCCUGGAUUAUUUUAUACUCUGACUGCAAUUAAUAUAGCCAUGUCACAAGCUAAAGGUUGUGCUUGUAAUACGCUGGCUCGUAAUCUGUUUAACAUUGCAAAAAAACCCAUGUUAAAUAUAUACCUGGGUUUUUCCCCGUCCCAUACCCUUUCCUCCUCCACCCUUGCCCACAUUGCAGGCAUCUCUACACAACUAAUAGUAGCCUCUCUACUUUCUCCAGACUCACCCUUCACCUUCAAUUUCCCUCUUGUGUAUCCUUCUAUCAUUCCCACUCAUGUGUUUCCUUCUUCUUUUCGUUUCAAGUCUGUUAAAUAUGUAACAAAUAAUAUGGUGUAUAAAGUAGGGCUGUCUGAAUACCUGACAUCAUCCCCUGACAAUGCUACACUAAUGACAACCUCAAACUGUGGCACAAAAACAGACAAUUACAUUGUAUGCUCCUGUUCUACCCUUCGCCAUUUGACCUUGUCCUCUUCUGUUGUUGUAAAUGUCCUUCCUCUUGCAAAUGGUGAAGUUGCUGUACAAGUAUCCGCUACUCAGUAGUGUUUCAUCACCCCUGCAUCUUAUUACAUGUACGAACCAUUACAGUGCCAGGCAAACGUUUCCAUGUGCCUGCAAAUUACUGACUCAUUUACCCUAGGAAAUGUCCACCUCCCCUGCCGUGUGUUCACUGGAAUAACAAUGGCUCCUCGGUGGUAUAAUAACCUAUAUCUGGACAAUACACCCAUUCAACUGGCCAAAAAACUACUUCUCAAAGUGGUCCUGGCUGCUGCGUCUGCAUUUACCACCGUUCGUAACCAUGUCACCAAAGGUCGCAUUCAAGUCCAGCUCUCCAAUCAAACCAUCACCCAACUAAAAAAUCCUGUUUAUAAUGCAUCUUACAGGCCCAUCUCCUGGUGAACAAUUGUCCAAAUAACAGCUGCCGCUUCUAUAUUUGUGUUACUAACCUCUCUUGUCAUGUGUGGGUACUUUAAACACAUGCUUAAAAAUCUUACUAUGUUUUCUACCUUUACCCCCUUCCCCCAAUUCCCCUCUCCUCCCCUCUCCCACCUCCCUUGGGCAACUCUAAAACAAAUCAUAUA